Molecule: transfer RNA, 64 nt
Filed under: Clupea pallasii (Pacific herring)
Lineage: Eukaryota; Metazoa; Chordata; Actinopteri; Clupeiformes; Clupeidae
Description: partial tRNA-Pro
Source: RNAcentral
UCAGAGAAUAGUUAAAUUCAGAAUCCUAGCUUGGGAGUUAGGGGUGGAAGUUAGAAUCUUUCUU